GUUUCCGUGGCGCAAAAGGUAGCGCAUUUGGCUUACAACCGAAAAGUUGGUGGUUCAAGCUCUACACGGAAACG
This is a non-coding RNA of Parelaphostrongylus tenuis, 74 nucleotides long. NCBI's taxonomy places the organism in Eukaryota, Metazoa, Nematoda, Chromadorea, Rhabditida, Metastrongylidae. The record is from the annotation of a GenBank genome assembly.